GGAUUUACCUACAUACCUGAGGUAAAUCCACAAGGCACCUUGAGUUCAAACUAUGAAGUGACUCCAAGCGAAAUAUAGCAGAAAUUGGGACUUAAACGAGCUUAGAAAUAAUCUGCUUAGUGCUGGAUGAGUGUUUUCACUUUAAAUGAACACCACCAUAUUUGAGUCAUGAAAAAGUGUUGAGUAAGCAUAAGCUUGUAGCAUAAAAGAUGUUUGUGAUAAGUCACUAGAUUGUAAAGUGUUAGUCUCUGCACAUUGAUUCUCUGAUUGUUUGAAUGAUGAAGUCUCUGCACAGUCUCUAAUUGACUGAAUAAGCUCUGCAGUGACAAUAAAUGAACACCACCAUAUUUGAGUCAUGAAAAAGUGUUGAGUAAGCAUAAGCUUGUAGCAUAAAAGUAAGCAUAAGCUUGUAGCAUAAAAGAUGUUUGUGAUAAGUCACUAGAUUGUAAAGUGUUAGUCUCUGCACAUUGAUUCUCUGAUUGUUUGAAUGAUGAAGUCUCUGCACAGUCUCUAAUUGACUGAAUAAGCUCUGCAGUGACAAUAAAUGAACACCACCAUAUUUGAGUCAUGAAAAAGUGUUGAAUAAGCAUAAGCUUGUAGCAUAAAAGAUGUUUGUGAUAAGUCACUAGAUUGUAAAGUGUUAGUCUCUGCACAUUGAUUCUCUGAUUGUUUGAAUGAUGAAGUCUCUGCACAGUCUCUAAUUGACUGAAUAAGCUCUGCAGUGACAAUAAUGAAUUUCAUGGGAAGAUUUUAUUUGUAAUAAAAGAAGGUAAUAUUUUGAGUUGAUUUUACCUAUUCUGUGAAGAUCAUAGCAUGUUUAACAGCAUUCCAAACAGGCAUGUCAAUUGUUGGAUGGAUCUUGGGAUGUCCUUGAAGUGUGUUUACCAUAUGUUGUUUUUUAUUCAAAGUUAUUGUAUUGUUCAUUAUUGUAAAAGCCAAGCAACUUUUGCAACAUUGAGGAUCAUACUUUAGCUUUGGAAACAAGACAUAUGUAGUUAUGCUGAUCUUCUUUUCCAGAGUCUUUGAUUAUCACUUAAUUUCAUUCACUUUUGAUGUAGUGAAAUUCAUAAUCAUUUUUUUGACAAGCUACAUUUGAAUGUAUUGUAUAUGUAUUGUUGCCCCUUUUUACCAUGCAUAUUUAAGCUUGUAGCAUAAAAGAUGUUUGUGAUAAGUCACUAGAUUGUAAAGUGUUAGUCUCUGCACAUUGAUUCUCUGAUUGUUUGAAUGAUGAAGUCUCUGCACAGUCUCUAAUUGACUGAAUAAGCUCUGCAGUGACAAUAAAUGAACACCACCAUAUUUGAGUCAUGAAAAAGUGUUGAGUAAGCAUAAGCUUGUAGCAUAAAAGUAAGCAUAAGCUUGUAGCAUAAAAGAUGUUUGUGAUAAGUCACUAGAUUGUAAAGUGUUAGUCUCUGCACAUUGAUUCUCUGAUUGUUUGAAUGAUGAAGUCUCUGCACAGUCUCUAAUUGACUGAAUAAGCUCUGCAGUGACAAUAAAUGAACACCACCAUAUUUGAGUCAUGAAAAAGUGUUGAGUAAGCAUAAGCUUGUAGCAUAAAAGAUGUUUGUGAUAAGUCACUAGAUUGUAAAGUGUUAGUCUCUGCACAUUGAUUCUCUGAUUGUUUGAAUGAUGAAGUCUCUGCACAGUCUCUAAUUGACUGAAUAAGCUCUGCAGUGACAAUAAUGAAUUUCAUGGGAAGAUUUUAUUUGUAAUAAAAGAAGGAGACAAGAUUGAAGUGCAGCCAACACUGCAUGGUGCUUAUCACAAGAGCUGACCCAUUGCUGUUUUUCAACUCUUCUGGAAAAGAUCCCAAAAGAAGGUAACAGCUUGUUUCCUUCACCGCCACCAGUCUACCUGCUCUCUGCACACUCGGCAGAGCGCGGCAGGGCACCCCACGGAGCUGCACUAGUCACAUCCGGGCCCCACGCCGGUCGACGGCCGAUGCGAUGGAGGCACUACUCCGAGCUGGACUGGUGGCCGGCUCGGAGCUGGUGGAUGUCGACCGCGGAGCGGCGAUCUACUCCUUCCACCGGGCCCGGCAGCAGGAGCUCCAGAUGUCCUUGUGCCACCCGUCCGGCCAGGCCUCCAUCCACCUUGUAGAGGCGGAGCGGGAGACGGUGAAGCUCACGGCUCCGUUGGAACAUGGCCGCUGGGAGGCCUGCGGCGCGGACGACGGAUGCGGCAGUUGGUCAAGACACGGCAGCCUACUCGAGGUGCUUCUCGCCUGGAGGACGCAGGCGAAUCGCGUUAUCCGAGCUGUGCCUCGUCAUGGUGCGAUGAGCCUUAAUAGACUAAUGCAUAUUCUUCCUUUGGCUGUAAUUCAUUUGCUGCUGCCCGCUGGGCUAAGGAGUAACUCUGGGCGCCUACUUUGAGCAGACGCUCGUCCAGUGCCGCUCUUCGUUUGCCGCACAUAUCUUUAUUUAUUCUUUGUUACAAUUCCGUCUUUGGUCAUUUUUUUUUACAUUGGGGGCACUUGAAAGUUUUGUUUUUAAAUCUGUGGACAUUGAACCUGGAAUCGUUUUUUU
Molecule: long non-coding RNA, 2522 nt
Organism: Amphibalanus amphitrite
Lineage: Eukaryota; Metazoa; Arthropoda; Thecostraca; Balanomorpha; Balanidae
Exons: 3
Source: RefSeq, a predicted model, not a curated record